Molecule: long non-coding RNA, 562 nt
Filed under: Elaeis guineensis (African oil palm)
Lineage: Eukaryota; Viridiplantae; Streptophyta; Magnoliopsida; Arecales; Arecaceae
Description: long non-coding RNA (EGUI_LNC076821)
Source: RNAcentral
GAGCAACGCGCACCGGAUUGGAUCGAUCUGGGCUUGUGAUCUAAUAUCUAAUUUCUUUGAGACAAUUCACCAAACACAUUGCAGGCAUAAAUAAACAAAGACAAAGAAUCAAGAUUUACGUGGUUCGGCACAAAAGGCCUACAUCCACGGGGAGGAGGAGCAAUUCCACUAUAAAUCCAUCCCGAAAAAUAGGUACAAUAUAAGGUAUAAAAUACCUUUUUCCAAAUCCCACAAGAAGGCAACAAUAUAUCGAAUAGAAGGCAACCAAGAUCCAAAAGGAUCAACCAAUCUCAGCCUCAGCAAUAGAUCAAGAUAAAAAUAAUACCUGAUGAAGAUACCUUCCUCAACCCUCGGCAAAAAAUCAAGAUGAUACCUCCUUACCAGCCGUAGCAGCACAAAGUAUUUGUGAAACCAAGAAGAAGAAGACAGGUAGAUCACCACCCGAAGGCCAACAGAAAGAAGCCAGAAAACACCUGCACACGAGGCACAGCCGAGAGAUCGGCCAGAGAACAGAACCCGNGCACAAGGCACAGCCGAGAGAUCGGCCAGAGAACAGGCCAGC